RNAcentral lists this long non-coding RNA (3025 nucleotides) under Canis lupus familiaris (dog). RNAcentral's name for it is "lncRNA (ENSCAFG00845021532.1)". Lineage: Eukaryota; Metazoa; Chordata; Mammalia; Carnivora; Canidae. The record is from RNAcentral.
UUUUUUUAAAAGGUUUGAUUUUAUUUAUUUCAUAGAAAGUGCAAGAGAGUGCACAAGCAGGGGGAGCAGCAGGCAGAGGGAGAAGCAGACUCCCCACUGAGCAGGGGGCCUGAUGUGGGCUUUAUCCCAGGACCCUGGGAUCAUGACCUGAGCCCAAGGUAGAUGUUUAACCCACUGAGCCACGCAGGUGCCCUUUUCAAUCUGUAUUUUUAAAAAGAGAAAGAAAAGAGCCACAGAAUGAGUGACUUAACUCCUUGUUCUGGUGACUAGAAAUCCAAGAUCAAGAUGUUGGCACAAUUGAUUCCUUCUGAAGGCUGAGAAGAUAGCUGCUCCAGGCUUGUUUCCUAACUUCUUACAGUUUUCUGGAAAUCUCUGGUGUUUUGUGCCUUAUAGAAGUUUCACAUGAUGUUUCCAUCCUCUCACAUGGCAUUCUCCCUGUGCAUAUUUGUGUCUAAAUCUCCCUUCCUAUAAGGGCGCUUCCUAAAAAGGUACCAGUUCAUAUCAGAUUAGGAGCUCAUACUACUGUAAUAUGACUUCUCCUUAGCUAAUUACAUCAGCAACAGGAUGGAAUAAGGUCAUAUUUGGAGGUACUAUGAAUAGGACUUCCACAAAUGAAUUUUGGGGGUACAAAAUUUAGCCCAUAAUAUCCCAUUAUCUUUGUGGCUUUCAACAAGCCAGUGACUUCCAUGUUUCUCUAAUAACUAAUGUACCCCAAACGGGAAUGAAUAUGCAUCAAAAAAGAAGUAGUAAAAGGACAAAAUUUAGCAUAGAAAAGUAUUCCCUGAGGGACAUGUAUCUACGUAGAGAAGUUAGAUCUCUGAACAGUAAGGUGUUAGCAACUUCUCAGCAGGAAAUAAACUGGUGAUAAAAUUUGCACAACUUAUUUGUGAGCCCUUUCCUUAGGAUAUUGAUGGCUAUGAGGCAGGAACCUUGGCUAGACUAACUCAUUUUUCAUAGAACUGAUCAUUGAUCUUGUAGUCUUGGAACAGGAGACAACUCCACCCCUUCUCCCUGAUUUGUGUAAGUAAAUCUCUCCAUUAGCUUUGCAGCUUUGUUUUUUUUAAGAUUUUACUUGUUUAUUCAUGAGAGACACACAGAGAGAGAGGCAGAGACACAGGCAGAGGGAAAAGCAGGCUCCACACAGGGACCCCGGGAUGAUGCCCCGGACCGAAGGCAGGUGCUAAACUGCUGAGCCACCCAGGUGUCCCAAGCUUUAACACUGAGGAAUCUAGAAAUAGUUUCCUACUCAAUGUGCCUGAGACCUAAAGCCAAGCAUCUUGAUAUACUAACACUAACAUUAGAGCCAUGGAAGAGUGUCAACUUAUUUGCUGGUUAAAUUACAUAUGGAAAUCAGUUGUGUUGAUGUGACGGUACAGGAAGGACAUUCAGAGAUACUCAGAGUAUUUCAAACACUGAAUGUAGGAAAUUCUAUGUCUCAAGCAAACUGUUUAAAAAUAGCAUCCUAUUUCUUAGAGGCUGAUCAAGUGUACGAUGAGAAUUACACAGUGCAACCAUUGAUCAUUUGUUGUGCGAGAUGCUUUCAUACUAUUUUAAUCCCUACAAGUCCUAUGAGAUAAGCGGCAUUAUCUUCAUUUUUACAGAAGAGAAAACCAAACUUACAAACUGGCAAAGUAGGACAACUUCAAAACUCUUCUUCCACUGCACAUGCUACUAGAGUACUUACGCCUUAAACUUUUCCCAAUUUUUGUUUUGGAAACUGUGUGCCACUAAAUUUCUCACUUGCUUAAAUAUAGGGAGACCUCUGUUCACUAACAGGACCUGAGAGACUAUCAGAUUGAAUGACAGGACAUGUUUUGGCAAAAACUUACACCACCUCAACCUUGAAACCCAGUUUUUGUAAUCUCACUUUUUGUUUUCCUGUGGGGUUAACUCAAAGGCAGUUGUUUGCAAAGGCCUUCUUGUGAAGCCAAGUGCUAAAAUAAGCACCUACUGAACACUGAUGAAAAGCAAGCUAUCAAACCUUUCAAAGCUACAGAAUAACUCGGAUUGCAGAAGAUGCUUGCAAGUAUUAUGCAGCCAAACAAGUUUUUGAGCUCUUUCCUCAUGAUGUUGCGCCAUCAACUCCACCUUUUAUUGGGCGGGCAGGCAAAGCACGGUAAGAUUACUGAGACUUCCCCGGUUUCCCAGGGGUUCACAGGAAUCCACCCAGGAGCUCUGAGGCCUUGCUACUGUCCGACCUGGGCAGCUCUUCCCUCUAGCAAGGCUUUAAGACAGGAGGGACACGAUACUCUGCCUCAAGCAUCUGCCGACGGCUGCGGGUUAACUUUACCCACAUUUUCUCCUGGGAUUUAGGUUAUUGGUAAGAAUGCUUUUCUUCCUGUAAAUCACGGAGACAUUUGUAAACCGAGGGAGGCUCGUGUCUUCCAAGGCUGUAACCUCCAUGCAUCCCCCGAGCCUUGGGGCAGCCUGGGGGGCUGAGGAGGGCGACAGCUCCCCCACCUGCGGGGAGGAUCCGGGGCAACCUGUGGGGUGCGCAGGAGUCAGCUGGUGCUCUGUCCUUAGCUCGCCUUCUGCUCCCUCACCAUGUCCCAAGGCCGGCUGUGACUCACUAUCACAUCCAUACCUCUUUCUGGCAGAACAAGCCUUUUAUUUUCCUCUUCCAACCUAAGUAAAUGUAACACGCAAAAGCUAUGCAUCAAAAGGAAUCAUCAGGAAUCCAUCACUCACUUAAAACAUGCAACCUUGGGACCCCGGGAGGCUCAGUGGCCGGGCAUCUGCCUCUGGCUCAGGUCGUGACCCCGGGGUCCCAGGACCGAGGCCCGCAUCGGGGCCCCGGGAUCCCCGCGGGGAGCCUGCUUCUCCCUCUGCCCGUGUCUCUGCCUGGCUCUCAUGAACAAAUCUUUAAAAAUAAUAAUAAUAAAAGUUAAAAUAAAAACCGCAAGGUUACCGGUACUGGGUUCCCCUCCAGAAAGAAUACCGUGAACCACCGCCGACCCCACCCCCGCGUUUCCUUCAGCGUUGCCAAGUCCCCGUCGCGCCAACUGCCAAGAGGGCUCCCACGCAC